Molecule: transfer RNA, 87 nt
Filed under: Streptomyces malaysiensis
Lineage: Bacteria; Bacillati; Actinomycetota; Actinomycetes; Kitasatosporales; Streptomycetaceae
Also listed under: 1 other name
Description: tRNA-OTHER
Source: RNAcentral
GGACACCUAGCUCACCGGGAGCACGCUGGCCGUGUGGACGCGCAUGGUCCCAAAGGCGAGGAACCGGUUCGAUCCCGGUGGUGUUCA